GGGUUAUUAGCUCAGUUUGGUCUAGAGCAUACGGCUUUUAACCGUACAUUCCUGAGUUCAAAUCUCAGAUAACCCU
Molecule: transfer RNA, 76 nt
Filed under: Pseudanabaena phage Pam2
Lineage: Duplodnaviria; Heunggongvirae; Uroviricota; Caudoviricetes
Rfam family: tRNA
About the family: Transfer RNA (tRNA) molecules are approximately 80 nucleotides in length. Their secondary structure includes four short double-helical elements and three loops (D, anti-codon, and T loops).
Source: Rfam by way of RNAcentral